GGGUUGUGAGGUUAAGCGACUAAGCGUACACGGUGGAUGCCCGGCAGUCAGAGGCGAUGAAGGACGUGCUAAUCUGCGAUAAGCGUCGGUAAGGUGAUAUGAACCGUUAUAACCGGCGAUUUCCGAAUGGGGAAACCCAGUGUGUUUCGACACACUAUCAUUAACUGAAUCCAUAGGUUAAUGAGGCGAACCGGGGGAACUGAAACAUCUAAGUACCCCGAGGAAAAGAAAUCAACCGAGAUUCCCCCAGUAGCGGCGAGCGAACGGGGAGCAGCCCAGAGCCUGAAUCAGUGUGUGUGUUAGUGGAAGCGUCUGGAAAGGCGCGCGAUACAGGGUGACAGCCCCGUACACAAAAAUGCACAUAUUGUGAGCUCGAUGAGUAGGGCGGGACACGUGGUAUCCUGUCUGAAUAUGGGGACCAUCCUCCAAGGCUAAAUACUCCUGACUGACCGAUAGUGAACCAGUACCGUGAGGGAAAGGCGAAAAGAACCCCGGCGAGGGAGUGAAAAGAACCUGAAACCGUGUACGUACAAGCAGUGGGAGCACGCUUAGGCGUGUGACUGCGUACCUUUUGUAUAAUGGGUCAGCGACUUAUAUUCUGUAGCAAGGUUAACCGAAUAGGGAGCCGAAGGGAAACCGAGUCUUAACUGGGCGUUAAGUUGCAGGGUAUAGACCCGAAACCCGGUGAUCUAGCCAUGGGCAGGUUGAAGGUUGGGUAACACUAACUGGAGGACCGAACCGACUAAUGUUGAAAAAUUAGCGGAUGACUUGUGGCUGGGGUGAAAGGCCAAUCAAACCGGGAGAUAGCUGGUUCUCCCCGAAAGCUAUUUAGGUAGCGCCUCGUGAAUUCAUCUCCGGGGUAGAGCACUGUUUCGGCAAGGGGUCAUCCCGACUUACCAACCCGAUGCAAACUGCGAAUACCGGAGAAUGUUAUCACGGGAGACACACGGCGGGUGCUAACGUCCGUCGUGAAGAGGGAAACAACCCAGACCGCCAGCUAAGGUCCCAAAGUCAUGGUUAAGUGGGAAACGAUGUGGGAAGGCCCAGACAGCCGGAUGUUGGCUUAGAAGCAGCCAUCAUUUAAAGAAAGCGUAAUAGCUCACUGGUCGAGUCGGCCUGCGCGGAAGAUGUAACGGGGCUAAACCAUGCACCGAAGCUGCGGCAGCGACGCUGAUGCGUUGUUGGGUAGGGGAGCGUUCUGUAAGCCUGUGAAGGUGCGCUGUGAGGCAUGCUGGAGGUAUCAGAAGUGCGAAUGCUGACAUAAGUAACGAUAAAGCGGGUGAAAAGCCCGCUCGCCGGAAGACCAAGGGUUCCUGUCCAACGUUAAUCGGGGCAGGGUGAGUCGACCCUAAGGCGAGGCCGAAAGGCGUAGUCGAUGGGAAACAGGUUAAUAUUCCUGUACUUGGUGUUACUGCGAAGGGGGACGGAGAAGGCUAUGUUGGCCGGGCGACGGUUGUCCCGGUUUAAGCGUGUAGGCUGGUUUUCCGGCAAAUCCGGAAAAUCAAGGCUGAGGCGUGAUGACGAGGUACUACGGUGCUGAAGCAACAAAUGCCCUGCUUCCGGAAAAGCCUCUAAGCAUCAGGUAACAUCAAAUCGUACCCCAAACCGACACAGGUGGUCAGGUAGAGAAUACCAAGGCGCUUGAGAGAACUCGGGUGAAGGAACUAGGCAAAAUGGUGCCGUAACUUCGGGAGAAGGCACGCUGAUAUGUAGGUGAAGUCCCUCGCGGAUGGAGCUGAAAUCAGUCGAAGAUACCAGCUGGCUGCAACUGUUUAUUAAAAACACAGCACUGUGCAAACACGAAAGUGGACGUAUACGGUGUGACGCCUGCCCGGUGCCGGAAGGUUAAUUGAUGGGGUCAGCGCAAGCGAAGCUCUUGAUCGAAGCCCCGGUAAACGGCGGCCGUAACUAUAACGGUCCUAAGGUAGCGAAAUUCCUUGUCGGGUAAGUUCCGACCUGCACGAAUGGCGUAAUGAUGGCCAGGCUGUCUCCACCCGAGACUCAGUGAAAUUGAACUCGCUGUGAAGAUGCAGUGUACCCGCGGCAAGACGGAAAGACCCCGUGAACCUUUACUAUAGCUUGACACUGAACAUUGAGCCUUGAUGUGUAGGAUAGGUGGGAGGCUUUGAAGUGUGGACGCCAGUCUGCAUGGAGCCGACCUUGAAAUACCACCCUUUAAUGUUUGAUGUUCUAACGUUGACCCGUAAUCCGGGUUGCGGACAGUGUCUGGUGGGUAGUUUGACUGGGGCGGUCUCCUCCUAAAGAGUAACGGAGGAGCACGAAGGUUGGCUAAUCCUGGUCGGACAUCAGGAGGUUAGUGCAAUGGCAUAAGCCAGCUUGACUGCGAGCGUGACGGCGCGAGCAGGUGCGAAAGCAGGUCAUAGUGAUCCGGUGGUUCUGAAUGGAAGGGCCAUCGCUCAACGGAUAAAAGGUACUCCGGGAUAACAGGCUGAUACCGCCCAAGAGUUCAUAUCGACGGCGGUGUUUGGCACCUCGAUGUCGGCUCAUCACAUCCUGGGCUGAAGUAGGUCCCAAGGGUAUGGCUGUUCGCCAUUUAAAGUGGUACGCGAGCUGGGUUUAGAACGUCGUGAGACAGUUCGGUCCCUAUCUGCCGUGGGCGCUGGAGAACUGAGGGGGGCUGCUCCUAGUACGAGAGGACCGGAGUGGACGCAUCACUGGUGUUCGGGUUGUCAUGCCAAUGGCACUGCCCGGUAGCUAAAUGCGGAAGAGAUAAGUGCUGAAAGCAUCUAAGCACGAAACUUGCCCCGAGAUGAGUUCUCCCUGACUCCUUGAGAGUCCUGAAGGAACGUUGAAGACGACGACGUUGAUAGGCCGGGUGUGUAAGCGCAGCGAUGCGUUGAGCUAACCGGUACUAAUGAACCGUGAGGCUUAACCUUACAACGCCGAAGGUGUUU
RNAcentral lists this ribosomal RNA (2915 nucleotides) under Escherichia coli. RNAcentral describes it as "bacterial LSU rRNA". It matches the Rfam family "Bacterial large subunit ribosomal RNA". Lineage: Bacteria; Pseudomonadati; Pseudomonadota; Gammaproteobacteria; Enterobacterales; Enterobacteriaceae. The record is from RNAcentral.